GACGAACGCUGGCGGCGUGCUUAACACAUGCAAGUCGAGCGGAGCGGCGCACGGGUGAGUAACGCGUGAGUAACCGCCCCCCUCUCUGGGAUAACAGUUGGAAACGGCUGCUAAUACCGGAUAGUGGGGGAUGACUCGCGUCCUAUCAGCUUGUUGGUGGGGUAGUGGCCUACCAAGGCGACGACGGGUAGCCGGCCUGAGAGGACGACCGGCCACAUUGGGCUGAGAUACGGCCCAGACUCCUACGGGAGGCAGCAGUGGGGAAUAUUGCACAAUGGGUGAAAGCCUGACGGAGCCACGCCGCGUGAGUGAAGAAGGUUUUCGGAUCGUAAAGCACUGUUGUUAGGGAGGGAGUAGCUGCUCCAGUCUUGACGUUAUCUUACCAGGAAGCCACGGCUAACUACGUGCCAGCAGCCGCGGUAAUUC
RNAcentral lists this ribosomal RNA (426 nucleotides) under uncultured bacterium. RNAcentral's name for it is "partial 16S ribosomal RNA". It matches the Rfam family "Bacterial small subunit ribosomal RNA", at positions 28 to 526 of the family's 1533-position model. The record is from RNAcentral.